This 84-nucleotide transfer RNA is filed under the name Verrucomicrobiota bacterium. RNAcentral's name for it is "Verrucomicrobia bacterium tRNA-Tyr". It matches the Rfam family "tRNA". From Rfam's summary of the family: Transfer RNA (tRNA) molecules are approximately 80 nucleotides in length. Their secondary structure includes four short double-helical elements and three loops (D, anti-codon, and T loops). Lineage: Bacteria; Pseudomonadati; Verrucomicrobiota. The record is from RNAcentral.
GGUAGGGUAUCCAAGUGGUCAAAGGAUGCGGACUGUAAAUCCGUCCGGUUAUACCGUUCGUGGGUUCGACCCCCACCCCUACCA